AAAGGAUUCCUUUGGGUUGGGGUAAAAAUGGAAGGCACAGUCCUCACUCGCCCCCUACUGGUCUAGAGGGGCUACCUCGCCCCAGAUUUUCGUAAUUUUGUGUGGUUGCAUUCUAUGUAAGAAUCACAGAACUGAAGCAGAAUGUCAUGAGUCCAAGGGGAAGUGACUUGCUGAAACACACAAACUUUAUGACCCAACAAUUUGUCAACAUUACCCCCAAAAACAUUGAUGGACCUGGACACCUGUUGGGAGAAAUUUCUAAACUAUGCCAGCUGCUUCUCUGUCAGAGGGGAGGCCCCAGAGUCACCUUAGAACUUUUGUUAUUCAGGAGCUCCUGCAGGUGCUCAAGCAACUAAUUGGAAAAAUUAGACCUGACUCUUGCGGCCCUGAAGUGCUGGUUGAAGCCGAUUGAGCUAAUUGCAAGGGGUAACUAAUCUGCCUCAUUUCAACACCCAAGAAAAGCAAUACCUGUUUUUUUUCUGCCUGCUGACUUCUUCAUGCACAUGACCCUAGGACGAAGCCUGUAUUAUCCUCAAGUUUAUGUCUUCAGGAAAUUUUAUCAUUUAGGCCUCUUCUCUUCCCCAGGGACUCUGCUGAAGGGAUGGGCAUUCAUUCAGUAGCCAUGUGUUGAACCCCAUUACUCUGUUUCAUCACUUGGGCCCUGGCUGAUUUGACCAGGGGUAUCUGACCCAAGGCAGACAGUCCAUAAGCCAGUCAGUGAACUGUAUCACCUGGUGCUGAGAGAUGAGCUGAUGGCCAAACUUAUGCUCUUAAACAUCUUAACUAAGAUAUGUAGAGAAUGAGACAUAGAGAAGUCAGAACCUUCCCACACCGCUGGUAGGAAUGUAAAAUGGUGCAGACACUCUGGAAAACAGUCUGGCAGUUCCUCAGAAAGUGAAAUAUUGAAUCACCAUGUGGUCCAGCAAUUCCACUCCUAGGUAUAUGCCCCAGUGAAACAAAAUAUAUGUCCAGAAAAAAACUUGUGUGGCCCCAAGCUCACAGCAGCAUUAUUUUUAAUAGCCAUAGAUGGAAAUGACCCAAAUGUCCAUCAGCUGAUGAGUGGAUAAAUAAAAUGUGGUCUAUCCACA
RNAcentral lists this long non-coding RNA (1088 nucleotides) under Vulpes vulpes (red fox). RNAcentral describes it as "lncRNA (ENSVVUG00000011054.1)". The record is from RNAcentral. Lineage: Eukaryota; Metazoa; Chordata; Mammalia; Carnivora; Canidae.